ACGCUAAUACCGCAUACGAUCUAAGGAUGAAGGCGGGGGAUCGCAAGACCUCGCGCGACUGGAGCGGCCGAUAUCAGAUUAGGUAGUUGGUGAGGUAAAGGCUCACCAAGCCAACGAUCUGUAGCUGGUCUGAGAGGACGACCAGCCACACUGGAACUGAGACACGGUCCAGACUCCUACGGGAGGCAGCAGUGGGGAAUUUUGGACAAUGGACGCAAGUCUGAUCCAGCCAUUCCGCGUGCAGGAUGAAGGCCCUCGGGUUGUAAACUGCUUUUGUACGGAACGAAAAGGUCUCUCCUAAUACGAGGGGCUCAUGACGGUACCGUAAGAAUAAGCACCGGCUAACUACGUGCCAGCAGCCGCGGUAAUACGUAGGGUGCAAGCGUUAAUCGGAAUUACUGGGCGUAAAGCGUGCGCAGGCGGUUAUGUAAGACAGAGGUGAAAUCCCCGGGCUCAACCUGGGAACUGCCUUUGUGACUGCAUAGCUAGAGUACGGUAGAGGGGGAUGGAAUUCCGCGUGUAGCAGUGAAAUGCGUAGAUAUGCGGAGGAACACCGAUGGCGAAGGCAAUCCCCUGGACCUGUACUGACGCUCAUGCACGAAAGCGUGGGGAGCAAACAGGAUUAGAUACCCUGGUAGUCCACGCCCUAAACGAUGUCAACUGGUUGUUGGGUCUUAACUGACUCAGUAACGAAGCUAACGCGUG
This 705-nucleotide ribosomal RNA is filed under the name uncultured beta proteobacterium. Its description in RNAcentral is "bacterial SSU rRNA". It matches the Rfam family "Bacterial small subunit ribosomal RNA", at positions 160 to 861 of the family's 1533-position model. The record is from RNAcentral. Lineage: Bacteria; Pseudomonadati; Pseudomonadota; Betaproteobacteria.